RNAcentral lists this ribosomal RNA (253 nucleotides) under uncultured bacterium. Its description in RNAcentral is "partial 16S ribosomal RNA". It matches the Rfam family "Bacterial small subunit ribosomal RNA", at positions 524 to 776 of the family's 1533-position model. The record is from RNAcentral.
UACAGAGGUCCCAAGCGUUGUUCGGAUUCAUUGGGCGUAAAGGGUGCGUAGGCGGCGCGGUAAGUCGGGUGUGAAAUCUCGGAGCUUAACUCCGAAACUGCAUUCGAUACUGCCGUGCUUGAGGACUGGAGAGGAGACUGGAAUUUACGGUGUAGCAGUGAAAUGCGUAGAGAUCGUAAGGAAGACCAGUGGCGAAGGCGGGUCUCUGGACAGUUCCUGACACUGAGGCACGAAGGCCAGGGGAGCAAACGGG